UACGUUGAAUUUAAAAUUAUCUACUUGGAAAAUUUAAAUUUAUUGGUUACAUUUUACAUUCUGUGAUAUUUAUUUUAUGUGGAGUUCUGGGUUCGAGUCCUGGGUAAGGCAUGGGUGUUAAUUUACAGUAAGAGAUAUGAUUGCUACGAAAUGAUAAAUAUUGGAAUGAUUUAGUUCUGGUUGUGGGCGAAAGCCGUUAACCAAAAAUAUUUAAAAAAAAAAAAAAAAAAAAAAAAUUAUGUGGACGUUAAGUAUGUUGUAUGAAAUGUUAUUUAAUUUUCUGUGUAUUUAUAUGCUACUGCAUAGUAAUGAUGUAGAGUCAGAACUUGGUUAGUUUAUUUUUCUACAGAUGAACUCCUAUUAUCCAGAAUUCUCUGCAACACACAUCCAACCUAAGCAUAGGGUCUGUCUGAAAUUUAUUUAUUGUAGCACCAUGCUUGUGUAGCCGUGUAAAGUAAGUAAAGAAGUACCAGCCAACAGUAAGUGUUACUCUAGGUGGCCAACUUGGCUCCAGCGUGGUUAAAACAAGGUUUUAGUCUGGGUAUCACUCCAAAGAGUAGGUAUUAAGGCACGUGGCACGCCUACUGCACACAGGCAUGCAUAGCUUCAGAAGAAACCACACUGUUUGAAAACUGCUCAAGAUAUCAGUGCUGUCUGUUUACGAAAGCAUUUUAAAAAAUGCCGGGGGGUGGAUGAGUAGUUCUGUUUCCGUAUUUUGUUUUUAAACUGUAAUUUUAGGAGAGUGUAAAUAGCUAAUGUGUUUUUAUAAUAAUUUUUAGACAUGAAAUCCCCGGUAAAGAUUCUUGAAAUCACCCAAGGGCCUUGCAACACCUUUAUCUUCAUUUCUCAUAUAUAACAUGUAUUGUUACGAUCACUGCUUAUAUUUCAUAGUUGCCCCAGUGUACGAUGAGAAGACUGCGUGCCAGUUCAGAGCCUUGCGCUUAGAAGCACCAGCGAGCAUUGCACCAUCCCGCCUCACUAACACAGAUACACCUCGGCCUAGGCGGACCCCUUGAGGUAAGCAAGGAGCAACGGAGGUGAAGCAAUAAUAGGCAACGCAUUGGAGAUUCUUCAAGACCUGGACGAACUGUAAGCAAACUCUUCAGUUGGCGCCCGUGGCAAUGUUCCACCAACUGUCUCGACGAUCCACACAAUUGUAGGCACCAGGUGUAGUGUUGUCACCCAGCCAGGCAGUCUUAUUACUGUUCAUAUGGGCUGUAAGUCAGCAACUAAAAACAGUUUGUAAAAAUUAAAAUGCACACAAACCCUUUUUUUCUAGAAUUAUUUCUACUGGAUUAAAAUUUAAAAACCACCCAUGAAAAAAGCAAUAAAACAUUAAUAACUACAUUCUUCUUAUGUAUGGGUUCAUCUUCAACUCAUUAAACAUUGUCACUGAUAAUGCAAAACCCUUUUAUGUCAAAACUUUUAGAUUUACCAGUGGUACAAAAAACUGUCUGUAAUACAAAUACAUGGAUAGGAAAUUUUAUAUUUUGCUUUAAUUCAUAGUCAUAAAACAAAAGGUUAUUAUAAUUAAUAGUUUACUGCAGUGGUUGAGGAAAGUCUUGCUGGUUUUUGUAGGCUAAAAGUGGGAAAAAUGUCAAAUCUUACACGCUAGGUUUUGCAUCUACAAUUUAUUCAUUUGAAUUUGUGACAUGUCUACCAGCAAUUGAGUACUCAAAAGAAAGGUACAAACCAACCACAAAAUUAACCAAGGACACAAGGACAUGAUUAAUGUAAAAUACAAUAACAGCAAAUAAUACCCACACUAGACAUCAUAACAUGUUUACAACUUACUAACUCAUGUAUUUAUAUUUAAUUAACAGAAAGUUAAACUUUUGAUAUGUAACAUCUUAGCUCUUGGUACACGGCAUAAGUAAUUUUUUUAAUGGAAGGGAAAUGUAACCACGGUGCUGCCAUCUGUGGCAGAUGGUGCGAACCAAAAUGUUCACAAAGCCAAAGGGAAAAAUUAGAGUAUUAACUUUUUAAGGAAUUUAACAAGAUGGGCAGUAUUUUAAUAAAAUUCCUUGUCGAAAAUCAGGUGCAAAGUCAGGUUUUAGUAUUUUUUCAAAUAUUUUUUAAGUUUUAUUGAAGCCAUUUCAUUAUGUAUAGUUUUAAAAUUUCUAGCGGUGGGUGCGGAAACCACAGUUUACACAGACAAAGGUAAACAUUAUAGUAUUAACUGUUAAGUGAAUUUUAACUAGAUAGGAAGUAUUUUAAUAAAAUUCCUUUUGUUAAAAUUCAGGUCCAAAACAGAGGUUUAGUAUUUUUAAAAGGUUUUUUUUUUUUUCACUUUUAUCGAGCCAUUUAGUCAUAAUAUGUAGUUUAACAUUUUGGUCUGCUAAUCAAACGUUUUGAUAGUCAACCUAGCUGCUCUGGCAAUGAUAUAUAGCAGCAGGUGUGACAACUACGUGUGAUUCACGCCAGGAAACGUAGUUGAAAACAUAAUUUGCGUAUUACACGUAAAACUCGUCUAUCCGGACUAACUGGGACCAAAAAGCAAUCUGGCAUAAUGAAAAUCAAGAUAAUCAGGUUGUAUGAGUAAUAAGAUAAUAAAAAUCCUUUAAAUAAGCAGACUUACUGUUUAUUACGAUAAAAAUCUUAGUUUCGUAACAAAAACACCUCGUAUACAUGUCAUAUAUUGUUUACAAGACAUUAAAAAAAUAUGAAAAUAACUUUUCACAUCAUUUCUUAAUAGAAAAUUGGUCUACUCUCUUCUGUUCGAAACUUGUGUGGUAGCAGUGAAGCAAAGUGACACAAAUUCUUUAUCAGUAGUUCAGCUAUGCUGUUUGUCAUGUAGUGCACUUUCUUAAACUCAAUAAGAAGCUUUUUAUUACCAUAACUCUACCAUGCAUGCAGGAACUGUACAUUGAAUCAAACUAAAAUAGUGAAUAUUUGGCUAACUUCUCGCUAACGUAAAAAAAUUGUAUGUGAACAUUGGAUAAAAUGUCUACAAACCUCAUCCAGAUUGUCUAGAGAUCAGAAUCAACGAGAGCCGGAUAAACUAGGUUUAACUGUACUUACCGCACUCAGCAUUAUUUUAAUAAUUUUGUGUAUGUGUUUCGUAUUAUAAGUGUAUUUGCAACAUGAGAACACAUGAAUUUGUUGCUCCUUACCGAGAUUAGAUGUUACACAUCUGUGGCGAGUACUGAAAGAUUCAUUCACAAAAUUCUUACCUUUUUAUCUAGUGAGGAAAAAUAAUUAUUAAAUUAAUUUAAAUGUGUAAUGAGGCCAUGUAAAAUAUUUAUAUUAUAGUUUAAAAAUUUUUAAUAAUUGUUUCUGAUGACUGUUGACAGGUGGAACUCUAAUGCCAAUGGUUUCAUUUAAAUACUUACAAUCAGGUUAUAUUUGAUAUGAAUUUUUUUAGGGUCAAUUGUGUUUUUUAACUUAGAUAAUAAGUUAAGUUGAUUGUGAAUGUUAUAAUAAUUAAAUGAUUUUGUUAAAUAUUCAAUGUUGGACUCUGUAAUAUAGAUGCACCAGAAUGGCACACUUUUAAAGUGACAACAGCGGGAUUGGCAGCCCUUACCAAGGGACUCCUGCUGGGCCGUGCCUCGAGGUAAGAAGUGUCAAGCCACGUCAGAGCUAACGGUCCCAGCCAGGGUGACUGGCCCGUCUCUUUUUCUUUCCUUCUGGCCAAUGGGGCUGGAGCUUAGGCUUGUUGGAGCGAGGGAGCUCCAGACCACUGAGCGGGACUCCUCGUGGGACAUGUGAAAGAAAGACAGGAGUCUGAUUCCUGCCACAAGGACACAUGGAUGUGGACGAAAGAAAUAAGUUUCCGAACUUCGAAGGGUCUGCACCCAUUAGUGUUUUAUUUGGUCCUGGGGGAAUGGAAACAUCAACACCAACCCCAGACUAUUGUAUCGGUCUUUGGUGCGCACAAGUGUUAAAAUACUGAAUCAAAGUCCGUUCGUUAUUUUCAUUUCAGUUACCAAUUGCUUAUUAGUAAUUGAUAUGCUCCAUUCUUCGUAAGUUUAACCACGUGCAGUGAAAUUUAACAAGAGGCUAUAUUUUAAUUUAAUUGUUUUAUUUAUUGCUGAUCUUGCAAAAGUUGUCUUGUGUUGUUUAUCUCGAGUCUAGCCAAAGAAGUAACAUAAAAUUAGUUUAAAACACGGCACAUAAACUUCAGCAAGAAGAACAGGUUCCACUGUUACAAACGAAAAAUUGAAUUUAAUAUUUCUCUUCUUGUUGGCAAAAGACCUCUGAAGAGAGUGUAAAUCUACACCAUUAUUGUUAUACUUAUUCUGGCCUAUAAUUUGGGUUAGUUCUAGUUUCAAUUUUAGUAAUGUUGUCAUCAUUUAUCAGUUCCAUUAAUUAUGUUCCAGAUAAUAUAGCCAUAUUCAAGUUUAGAUCCAACCAAAGCUAUACAGAGAGAAAGUAUGUAAUCUAUAUUGUAGUAAAACCUCAUUAAUAAAAACCCUGUUAACACCAAA
Long non-coding RNA from Bacillus rossius redtenbacheri, 4427 nucleotides. RefSeq lists it as uncharacterized. The transcript has 2 exons. NCBI's taxonomy places the organism in Eukaryota, Metazoa, Arthropoda, Insecta, Phasmatodea, Bacillidae. The record is from RefSeq and is a predicted model, not a curated record.